UUAAAAACUGGGAUUAACAAACACCAUCCGAAUCAGAUAUCCUAAAAGCAAAAUAGUAACAGACAACACGGUAGACUUAACAUCACAUAUUCCUCCAUCAAUCUCUACUUCUCUGACGAGUUGGGUCCUCUCUUCUUCCCGAAUCCAACAACGGCGGUAACGAAGCGGCGAUUGUACUGCAUGCGCUUGUGGGCGCGGCCCCUCGGCUUCUUCUUCUUG
This 219-nucleotide unclassified non-coding RNA is filed under the name Hevea brasiliensis (rubber tree). Lineage: Eukaryota; Viridiplantae; Streptophyta; Magnoliopsida; Malpighiales; Euphorbiaceae. The record is from RNAcentral.